RNAcentral lists this ribosomal RNA (253 nucleotides) under uncultured bacterium. Its description in RNAcentral is "partial 16S ribosomal RNA". It matches the Rfam family "Bacterial small subunit ribosomal RNA", at positions 524 to 776 of the family's 1533-position model. The record is from RNAcentral.
UACGAAGGGUGCAAGCGUUACUCGGAAUUACUGGGCGUAAAGCGUGCGUAGGUGGUUUGUUAAGUCUGAUGUGAAAGCCCUGGGCUCAACCUGGGAACGGCAUUGGAAACUGGCUUACUAGAGUGCGGUAGAGGGGUGUGGAAUUCCCGGUGUAGCAGUGAAAUGCGUAGAUAUCGGGAAGAACACCAACGGCGAAGGCAGCUCGCUGGGACGGAACUGACGCUAAGGCGCGAAAGCGUGGGGAGCGAACAGG